This 586-nucleotide long non-coding RNA is filed under the name Elaeis guineensis (African oil palm). RNAcentral describes it as "long non-coding RNA (EGUI_LNC042759)". Lineage: Eukaryota; Viridiplantae; Streptophyta; Magnoliopsida; Arecales; Arecaceae. The record is from RNAcentral.
GCCCCGCAACGCCCAUAUGUGCCCCCAUAGCCCUAUUAGAGACAAGAGGAGGACCUCAUCCUAACCGAAGCUAAAAUCGAUUGCAUCAGAAAUAGGGGAAGAACCCCAUCCUAACACCAAUUAAGGUCUGGUCAUUCAGGACCAGAUAAGAAGAAGGGAACCUUCCCAGUGACCCCUUCGCGCUCCCGCGACCCCACCAAGAGCAAAGAGAAAACCCUCACUCGAAAAAAGAAAAAGGAAAGGGGAGGGGGGUGAAAAAGGAAAGCGAUGAACUGCAUCAGCGACGAAUGGAAAACAAAUUACAUCAAAGAUGCAGGGAACCUCGUCUCGAUGAGGAUUGGAGUUCUUAUCAAAAUCUCCGGCCUUCAAGAAGGCUCUCAACACAGGCCAAAGAUAAGGCGGCUUCCUCAGGGUGACGAGAAGCUCGGACCUCCGAGCUCGGACUCUGAAAAGAGGUAUCAAACUCGAAUGGUCCCGAACAAAUCAGUGGCCAUAAACAAAAGGAUGGCUUAAUGCAACGACAAUCGGGUACCUCCGAAUGGCAUCGAUAUCGGACAAGGCAAAAACCGAGGAAAGCUCGGCAAGU